RNAcentral lists this ribosomal RNA (340 nucleotides) under Parabuthus kajibu. RNAcentral describes it as "partial large subunit ribosomal RNA". The stretch from base 80 to 340 matches the Rfam family "Bacterial large subunit ribosomal RNA", at positions 2048 to 2549 of the family's 2925-position model. Lineage: Eukaryota; Metazoa; Arthropoda; Arachnida; Scorpiones; Buthidae. The record is from RNAcentral.
UUAGUCUUGUAAUUUAAGACUGGAAUGAAAGGGAGUACUAGAUAAAUUCUUUUUUUAAUUUAGUUUAUUAAAUUUUACUUUUUAGUAAAAAGGCUAAAAUGUUUCUUUUAGACAAGAAGACCCUGUGAAAUUUUAUAUAGUAAGGCUAUAAUAGGUUUUAAGUAUAUUUUACUGGGGCGGUAAACAAAAACUCAUUGUUUUUAUUUAUAGACUAAAGAGUCAAAAUAACUAAAAAUUUUAAAGGAAAAAUAAAUUACUCCAGGGAUAACAGCAUAAUUUAAUUUAAAAGUUCUUAUUGACAAUUAAGUUUGUGACCUCGAUGUUGGAUUAAGAGUCCUUU